UACGAAGGGGGCUAGCGUUGUUCGGAAUUACUGGGCGUAAAGCGCGCGUAGGCGGUUUUGCAAGCCAGAGGUGAAAUGCCUGAGCUUAACUUAGGAAUUGCCUUUGGGACUGCGAGGCUUUGAGGACGGGAGAGGUGAGUGGAAUUCCCAGUGUAGAGGUGAAAUGCGUAGAUAUCUGAAGGAACAUCAGUGGCGAAAGCGACUUCCUGGACCAAUACUGACGCUCAUGUGCGAAAGCGUGGGGAGCAAACAGG
RNAcentral lists this ribosomal RNA (254 nucleotides) under uncultured prokaryote. RNAcentral's name for it is "partial 16S ribosomal RNA". It matches the Rfam family "Bacterial small subunit ribosomal RNA", at positions 524 to 776 of the family's 1533-position model. The record is from RNAcentral.